UUUUGGAAAACAGCAUUUUUGGGUAUGUAGAAGAAAGAUGGCGGAGACUUGUCAUUAAAUUCAUUCACCAGGGUAAUUACUACUCUUUCUUGUCCCUUGGCUAUAUCAACAACGUCAUGGAGUGAACUUAUCCUUUCAGGUGUCAAUUGACGCUCCUGGCUAACCACAACAUGCUGGAAGUUUGUGUCUUCAAGAUCAUUCUCUUUAUUUUCUUCAUCUGUUACACAGAAAUUUUCACUGGCCUUCUUGUUAAGCUGCAUGCCGUCAUCCACACCAUCACAAGAUGGAGGAAGUUUUGGUUCUUGGAGCAGAGCUACCUCCUCAUCAAACUGAGAACCGACUGAUCCAUUCAAAGAAUGAAAGCGCGUGCCUUUAGCACCUAAAGCAUCUGUUAAAAAGAUUUUUUGAAUGAAUCAAUAAUGAGUUUCACAUUUAUGGUUUCUGGAGUUAAGAGGAUUCAGUUCAAAAUUUAUUUCAUAAGUUUCAUCAAGGAAAAGUUCAUAUCAUAAGUUUUGUAUGAUCUGAGACAUUUAUCCUCCAAAAUUUUAGUGCUGCAUCAAGACUAGGCAUAUGGAAGUCAGGCCUUCCAAAAGUCAAGUUGCAGAUCAUAAAUUUUCACCUCUCCAAAAGGUGAGGAAGCAAUCUCAAGGUUUAAACAAGAUUCACCUGAAACCAUUGCCGGGUUGCCAUUGUUUCUCGUUUCAUUUGAAAUGGGAACCCCAUCAGCUGUGCCUUUUUCACCCAUAAACUGUAACAGAUCAGGACCAUUAUUUUCUCUGAUCGAACCAUUUCCACUAGAUGACUCUCCUUUACUUGAUGGAUCUGAAAAUGAUGAACUCACAAAAACUCAGCUAUAUUUCCUAUGAAUAAAUAAAGGCAAAUGCAGAAGGUAAACCUUAAAUUGAAUAUGUCAGACAUAUGCCAAAUAUGUUGGUAGUUCAAAUAAGUCACAAUCUGGGACCUCAAUUGAAUAACCCACAAAUGGGGCAGCAAAUACUUCUCUCAACAGUCAACAUCCAAUACAUGAAAAUCAAUCAAUUACAUUAGAAAGUCAUAACAAUCAAGUACAUUAGAAAGACAUAAUCAAUAUGCUUCCAUUUUGACAAAUAUUUCAAAGUAAAUCACCUCAUCCUAUUGAACGAGGUCAAAAAUACCAGAGGUCUUGAACUUUCAAAAAAAACCUAAAAACUUUACAGAAACCAGCAAACACCAGGACCAGGUAUUUCCAGAAGCCAAAUGGGCAGAUGAUUCCAACGAUUCAAGUGAAGUGGAGGACCAAUUAUGUGGACAAAAACUAGAUGGGUACCAAUAAAGAAUAGAUAAGCAGAAGCAAAGCUCACAUAAACUUACAAAAGUAACUUUUGUCAAAAUGAUAGUAACUUUCAGUCAGGAUGGAUAACAUAUACCUGGCUGGGUGACUGCAGAAGGAACCUCAAGCUUCGACACAUCAUAGGUGACAGGCUCUUCUUUAACUAAAACAUGACCGGUAGUGGUCUUCUGUUUGGGUAACCCGGCAAUGCUGGGCUGAAGGUUUGGCUCUUUAUGGCAUCCAGCAAGAGAUGACCUCUUCUCCCCAGAAGGAAUUUGUGGUGAGAGAGUUCCCUUUCCUCUGUCUCUCAGGCGCAUUGGAUGAGAAACUGAAUUGGAUUCAGUUCUCAAACUGGUCUUUUGCUGACUUUUAUUGACAGCACUAGGCUGAGAGGGAUCGCUCCUCUCCUGUGACUCAGCCCUCAAUUUUUUAGUAUUGGGCUGAGGUGAAUCUGCUUUGUCUUGUGCAAUUCAAACCAGCCAUUCAAAAGCCAACAAAAAAAUGCAGAAGACUAGGCAUAAGAAACAAUCUACACAAAGUGGUUCAAGUGUGCUCCAACAGAACAAUCGGAAACAGAAUUGUGUACAUGCUGGCAGAGGAAAAUUACAUUCCAAAUCCUUUACUUCCAACUUACAGAAUGGGAAAGCACUCAGUGGAGAUUCCUCUUCAGUAAGGCAUAGGUUAAUUUAAGAAGGGGGAAAUGUAGAGGAUUUGGAGAAAAUUGAAGCACAAGAAUAAAAGCAAUUUCCUUUCGAGACCCUUGUUGCAGCAACCCAAAAAUUUAAUUAUACUCGAAAGCUUAGUGAAGGAGGCAUUGGUCUUGUUUAUAAGGUAAAAUUUAACUUGUGGGCAUUUGAAUUUUUCCCAAUAAAAGAAAAAAGAAGGAUAGAAGUUUUCCCCAUCUCUAAAAGGGUUCUACUUGAAGGAAUCUUUUAGCUACUACGGUGCUACUGUUGGGAACAUUGAUCCAUCAACACUUGGUGCAUUUUCCUUCGGUCAGCUUGUCAUAGAAGGAUGUUAGCAGAAUCAGAAGAACUAGAAGCUCGGAACUCUACUUUGGGAAAUGGUCCCGCCAAUGCUAUACUGGGCACUAUAGAAGCUACAAAGACUGAGAAAGGGCCCUUACCCUCCCUAACCUUAUUAUAGACUUCCGAAAAAUCCGAAUAUAUGAGGAUUCCCUCACCUUAUAAGUUCAACAAAUCAUCGAAAUGCUCUCUCUGAAGAUUCAACAAGCUAUUAGCUAUGCAAGGGUUUCUUAGAGUAGAUAGCUCUAUCUAUCAUAGUGAAAUAGAUUGAAAGAAAUCUUCCUUUUUCCCCCCUUGGCUUCAUUACUCUGCUUGUUGCCAGCACUAUUCACUAUUAUUAAGAAAGAGCAGAAGUGGUCUUCUUUUACAGCAUAUUUAAACUUAAACGAGGUGACAGUGAAUCAUGCCUAUAAGUGAAAUACUUACUACUUGGACGCUUUACGCUGCGGCAGAACCGGCUGCCACAUUGACAGCGAAAUGCCUUAACGGGAUGAUCGUGGUCAUCAAAAUCAAUACCAUAAUCCUGCGAGGAUAACAUUGAGACGUUUUAACAAAGAGCAUAUUCAGAUACAUAAAUUUAUGCUAUGUGUAGCCAUCAAAUUGUUAUUUAAUUUUAAGAGCACGUGAUUGAACAUACACAUAGAUAAAAGAGAGUGAACAAAGCAGUUAACUGCACAUAUAGUACACAUUUGAUUUUAUUACACAUAGUAACAAUCAUAGACAUAAAAAUGGCGAACAAAAGGGCAGAAGUGAGAACAUUUACUUAGAAUUCAAAAUCUUAUGUUGCUGAAUUUUCAGACAUAUGAUAACCCUUUAAGUUAGAGAUUAGUCUAUACUCUAGGAAUUUUCCUACUGCAUUUAUUCCAGCAGGAAUAUUGUUCUUAUGUUAAACAAGCAGCCCUAGACACAGAAUAGCCUAUUUUGUGAAGGUCUCUUAGUUUUGGCCUGAUGCAGGUCAACCAAUUUUUUGUACUUCUUUACUUACCUAUCAAUACACAUUUAAAAUAUCACAUGUACCGUGGGUCACCCUUGCCAACAGUGGUUAUGGUCAUGGCCCAAGACCUUCCUUAUUUUAUUGAGUGAGAGGAAGGGGACAGUUGAGUGGCCAGUUCACUAGCUAGUUCAGUCGAGUUAUAAUGACUCGUACAGAUGAAAUCAAACUCAGAUGUGGAACAUUGAAUUCAUCAUCAACCCUUUUUCAUUUAUAUAGCCCGUGCCUACGUUAUAAUGCUCCUAUUUCCUUUGGAAUUGUACAAAUUAUGUCCUCCUACGAGAAAUAAUUAUUCACUCCCCAAAAAUGCCCUGAAGUACAUAAACAAGGAUACUUGUUCCUUAGAUGUGAGGGUAAAAGUGAAAAGUUACAUCAACCAUCCACUUUUAUCAACUAUUUUAUAAAACUCUGUGCCAUUUCAAAUCACUUCAUUGAGUUAUGGAUGAAGGAUUAAUAUUUAAUAUGGUGUGGCUUCAGCAAAGGUAAACAAUAAAAGGUGGGAGCCAAUGAACAAUCUAACACGUUCAAAACUCAUUUCAAAAAACUAUUACAUGCACAAUUCAAUUUAUUAAGACAAACAGUCGUGCAACCAAGAUGUAACCAGAUACCACCACAUAGAAUCUAACUACAAUGUCCAGACAAGAAAAUUUAAGGAUGCAGCCAUAUCAAACCAUACGCUAAACUGCAGCUACCAUCCCCACGUGUAUGGUCUUUCGCACUUUUAACCUCAUCUUUUGUUCUUGGUAUCAAGCUCCUGGAUCUUUUAGCCUCAUUUUCUCAGUUUUCUAAAGUCCACCCAAUGGAAACAAAUUCUCUUGCUUAGAGGCCUAUAUUCGUACAAAUUAGGUAGGAAAAAGAAUUGGCAAAAGAUCAACUUUAGCAUAAUCCAAAUUCCAAUGUGGAAGCUAUAUUGUGAUUAUUUAAUAAUUAGAGGGUGGGUGUUGACAGAUUCUAUGUUCAGAAAGGGAAGUCUUGGUUUUAAUUCUUAGCAAGUCUGUAGUUAUUUUGCAUGAGAUAGCACAAAAUCAGCAGCAGCAGAUUAGUAAGAGGUUACCCUUCCUGGGUGUAGGUGUACGAGUUAUUCAAAAUAAGAUAAAGGAAAAAAAAAAAUUAAUGAAUGCAAGCAUAUAACUUAACAAAACAACAAACUAAGCCUUAUUCUUAUAAAAUUUAGGAUCAGCUACACAUGCUUUUUCACUACUCCUUGCAGUCCAUCUCCACAUCCAUGGGAAGAUCUAAGGCAAUCAGAAUGCUUUUAACUCCGGUAUACCAGGUAAAUUUUUGUCUAACUCUCCCUUUCUAAAAUAUUCUAUUAGGAUCUCAUCACUCUUGUGAAAGGGAGUUUCUUUAGGUGACAUCCUCCAACCACCUAACUCAUCCUACUCUCAAUUUAUCCUCAAUGGGUGCCUUCAUCUGUUCCCAAAAAACCAACUAAAAUAUUACUAGUAGGAUAGAUGGUUUCCAACUAGCAAUGAAGAGGUUGAAAUUUGCUUAAGCUUACACUGCAUUUUCAUUCAAACGGAUUUAUGACAUUUUCGAGACACUAAGACUCCUUUAUCAAUGACAUAGUGCUCCCUCAAAAUGAAACCAAUUUCAGUAAAAUAUGAUCUAGAUGAAAAACGCCCACCAAUAUUAUUGCCACAUUUUCACAGUUCCAAAUCGACCAUAUUCUAGCUCCUCGAAAUCAUAAAGCAAGUGAUUUUCCCAUUAAUUGUUCACAAUAGUCGAAUAUACAUUACUAAGAACAGUAGACAUCUAUACCUCCCUAGAACAACAAAAAGCACGUUUAUACAUAACGUAUUUCAAUGAAAUAAAUCCUACUUACCCAAGUGAGUUCUUCCAUAGCUUUUACCUUUCUUGUAGUGAAGAAGGCAAGCUGCAUUAAGAGAUGCAAAAUUCAAUAAAACUGUGGACACAAAUGAUUAACAGCAGUCGCCAUGGAAAACGGAAAAGGUUAACCAUUAUGGAUAGGAUUUCAUACAUGGUAAUAGUGGUGAUCAGGUGUCUCCACUUCCACAGGUAUCUCCACCAUGUUUGAAUCGAAACACCUAGCAGGAUAUAAAAAUGGCUAUUAAGAAAUCUGAAAACGAAAUCAACCAAAGGCUCUGAGAAAGAGAAAUCUCUUCUAUAAAAUUUAAUGCAUUCUACAUUCUGGAGGCAGACGGGAUUGGAGACAAAAGAAUUUGUCUUUGACAAGGAUGUUGACAUAUUUAAGCAAACGCAAUUUUAUGGUUAUAUGUAUGUGCUUCUGCGCACCUGUGGAGGGAGAGAGGGACUCAAUUACAAAAAUGAAAGAGUUCUAGGAAGUCAGCAUUAUAGCCAGGGUUGAAUAGGAUAAUCUAAUAAAUGAAAUAAAAAUGUUUAACCUAAACCUUACCUUCUUCAGUUUCCCCAUCUUAUCUGAACAUUAUCAUAAACAAUGUGAUAAACAGACAGCCUUUCAUUUGUAUUGAUUGUCAAGACCUUAAACAAGGCUCUACUAAGCUCUUCAAUGGAGCAACUUUUGACAACACGAAAGAUUCAUGUUAUGAUCCUUUGCCUUGGUUUGCUCUCUCUCAUUUUUUGAAUAAGCUAGAAACAUAUUACUAACUCGCUAUCACACUAGAGAUUAAGACCAAGAGACAUGGUGACUGAACAGUGAACUUCACGAAAAAGAACAAUAAUUCACAAAAUGAAUGCGUUCUCAAUCAACUGAACUUACCUAUGGUUGAUAAACCUUGCUACGUUACCAUAAUAUGUAGCAUCUAAACAAAGAGCAUCUUCAUCCUUUAAAACAACUUCCGAACACCAAUCAGCAUCAAGGAGCACAGGAUAUGAAUGUUCUUCCCCUUUGGAGCUCCGUACACGAUCAUAUAGCUCCGCAUUUGUUAAAACUUCUCCAACAUAUUCGCAGACAAAGGCACCUUUUGGCAGAUCCUCCAAGGUACGUAAACCCCACCCUUUUCCACCAGGAGUCAUAAACACCUGAAGAAAAAAUUAUAUAAGGAAAAGUUAGUGCAAUCAUGGAAAAACUUAUUAUUAAAGCAUCAACGAGAUCAUAAGACUCGAUAAUCAAGCAAAAAGAACAUGGGGUUGGGUCUAGGUCCAAACAUAGGCAGGAACUCCUACCUGUAAAUUGCGACUUAUUCCCCUUUGUACCACUCGAUUGCCGCACUGUAUAUUACACCCACAUUUCAACCAACAUUCUUUGAUGAACUUCCUCACCAAAUGACCCUUGCAAGAUCCAACGAUAUCUUCAUUUUUUGACCUUUCCAGUGGACAUUCCUUACAGAAGUACUGGCAGUGUUUUUCAGGAUCACGAUUCAUUGAAAUACACUCUUUAAGGAAUUCCUCCUUGAUGAGUCCAUCACUUGUGUAUGCAAACUCACCGCCAGUUUCAUGUGAACAUGCACAAGGCAAGGAUAAUGAUAGACAAUCACCAGAACAGGUUGAACAACAAUUAUUAUCUCCUAUACGAGCUAGAGAAAAAUUUACAUAUGCAUUUUGGAAAACAGCAUUUUUGGGUAUGUAGAAGAAAGAUGGCGGAGACUUGUCAUUAAAUUCAUUCACCAGGGUAAUUACUACUCUUUCUUGUCCCUUGGCUAUAUCAACAACGUCAUGGAGUGAACUUAUCCUUUCAGGUGUCAAUUGACGCUCCUGGCUAACCACAACAUGCUGGAAGUUUGUGUCUUCAAGAUCAUUCUCUUUAUUUUCUUCAUCUGUUACACAGAAAUUUUCACU
RNAcentral lists this long non-coding RNA (7045 nucleotides) under Olea europaea (common olive). RNAcentral describes it as "long non-coding RNA (OEUR_LNC004754)". Lineage: Eukaryota; Viridiplantae; Streptophyta; Magnoliopsida; Lamiales; Oleaceae. The record is from RNAcentral.